RNAcentral lists this ribosomal RNA (253 nucleotides) under uncultured bacterium. RNAcentral describes it as "partial 16S ribosomal RNA". It matches the Rfam family "Bacterial small subunit ribosomal RNA", at positions 524 to 776 of the family's 1533-position model. The record is from RNAcentral.
UACAGAGGGUGCAAGCGUUAUUCGGAAUUACUGGGCGUAAAGAGCGCGUAGGCGGUUUGGUAAGUCUGAUGUGAAAGCCCUGGACUCAAUCCAGGAAGUGCAUCGGAUACUGUCAGACUCGAGUACAGGAUGGGAAAGCGGAAUUCCAGGUGUAGAGGUGAAAUUCGUAGAUAUCUGGAGGAACAACAGUGGCGAAGGCGGCUUUCUGGACUGUUACUGACGCUGAGGCGCGAAAGCGUGGGGAGCAAACAGG